UUUCAGUUACUGUCAUCUUGAUUAUGUGAGCUCGAGGAGAUUUCCCUUUAGAUUGCUCAAUGAACCAAUGGGCAAAUUGUGACCAAUCCUGUCAGUGAACUCUUCAACUCCAAUCCAUUGUAAUGUUUGGUAUCUCUGUUGGGAUGCAAAAGUGCAUUGCAAGAAUAAGUGAUCUCUAGUUUCCAUAUCUUGCUGGCACAUAACACAGUUGCCUGAUACAUUCAGAUUCCAUUGCAGCAGCCUGUUCUUGGUAGGGAGUCUAUCUUGCAGUAACAGCCACAAACUGAAGAUUGCUUUAGGUCGAGCAGCAUUCUGUAUUACCAAAUUCUUCCAAGGGACUCUAGGUGUCUCUCCNNN
RNAcentral lists this long non-coding RNA (357 nucleotides) under Nicotiana benthamiana. RNAcentral's name for it is "long non-coding RNA (NBEN_LNC039635)". Lineage: Eukaryota; Viridiplantae; Streptophyta; Magnoliopsida; Solanales; Solanaceae. The record is from RNAcentral.